UGAACUGCAGGACACAUGAACAUCGACAAAUCGAACGCAUAUUGCGGCCUUUGUCUCUGACUUAGGCCACGCCUGGCGGAGGGUCGG
Molecule: ribosomal RNA, 87 nt
Filed under: Stenchaetothrips karnyianus
Lineage: Eukaryota; Metazoa; Arthropoda; Insecta; Thysanoptera; Thripidae
Description: partial 5.8S ribosomal RNA
Rfam family: 5.8S ribosomal RNA
About the family: 5.8S ribosomal RNA (5.8S rRNA) is a component of the large subunit of the eukaryotic ribosome. It is transcribed by RNA polymerase I as part of the 45S precursor that also contains 18S and 28S rRNA.
Source: RNAcentral